CUUUUGUGUGUUCCUAAGUGUGUGGAGUGACUCAAAUUUUAGCACAGAAAGUAAAGUUAGAAAGCAACUGCUAUUUGCCAACAACCCAUUCUUUAAUUCUCAAAGAUCAAAAAUUUGCUUGAAAACUGACAUUUUCAUUUUCUCCUGGCCCAGUGAACAAAGUUUUAAGGUUAUGUGGUCGCUCUGAUACCACCUAAGAAGCAAAUAUUUCUUGCAGUCUACUUCUAGAUGUGAAUGAACUGAAAGUAAAUGACUCAGAGAUGGAGUAAAUGUCCCUUGAAAUACACCCAAACUUAAUAAUUAGGAGAAGAGUGCUUGAAUAAACACAUUUAGAGUGUUAUUGAGCAUAUACAAGCUUAGAUGGUCCAUAUUUCUAAAAGACAGUGAGUCUAUAGCACAUUCUUCGGAGAUGAGAAAAUUAUGCCAUAAAUAAAAUUUGUAGUGGAGGCAUUUGUUUUAUCAUUCAGUUAAGUAGCAGGAAUUCUUUCAUACCUAGAGGGACUUAGGUAAAACUAAUAAACAGACAUACUUAACAACAAGAACAACAACAACAAAAAUAAAGCAUUACCAUUCAAGAGUGUGAAAUCACUUCUCUGAGAGCCUUUUUGGAUUGAAUAUUCUUUUUGGGCUGGUAAUGUCAAACUAAAACUUUACCUAAACACAGAUAACUAGGUGGCUCUUAGCAUACCUUUCAGGGCUUAUGGUCUCCAAUUAUUCCACUCACAUCCCCCUAUACAUUUCCAAAUCACCUCUUUCAGUGUCUCCAGUGUUUAAACAUGAACUGGAUAGAGUGUUGCAUGGUAGUAUUAAAUAAAAUUUAGCUUAAAGCUGUUUCCUUACAUAUUAUAAGUUCUGUCUAAAGGUUUCUACGUGCAUAGUAUACAUGUCAUUGAAAGUGUAAAUGGACUAUAACCUACUCUGAUACCAAUCACUGAGUUGUGGCCAAUCAAAGGUGGCCAACUGCUCAAACCACAUUCAAAUAUGGCAAAUGCUGAGCUGUAACCAAUCCCGUUGUUUCUGUACCUCAUUUCUGUUUUCUCUCUGUCACUUUUCUUUUUCUUUCCAUAAAUCUUCUUCAACCACCUGGCAGUGCCAGAGUUUCUCUGAACCCAUUCUGGCUUGGGGGAUGCCUGAUUCAUGAAUCAUUCUUUGCUCAAUUAAACUCUGUUUAAUUUAAUUUGUCUAAGGUUUUUCUUUUAACAGUAGAGAUAGGAGUACAACACACUUUGAGGUGUACAGGAGUGAGUUCAAAUCCUAGCUCUGUUAUUGGCUUGAUUUCUCAUCUUGAGCAAGGUACUUAGUUUCUCUGAGCCUUAGUUUCUGCACUUGUAAAUGUGGAGAAGUGAAACACCAGACUUGAGAGGAUGCUCUGCUAUCUGAACGAGGUAAUGGGAAAAUGCUCGGCCAGUGUUGUAACUCAAUCUUCUUAUCCAACAGUGAGCCCCUUGGGCACCCAGACCCAGACUCGCCCUUCUAGUCUCACGUCUUGCACUCUCUGGCACAUCUCAUGUAGGCUCUGUUGCCUGUCAUGUUUUCCAGUCCACAAAUACCCUUGGCAUGCUCUCAUGUCUGUACUUGGUCCACAUUAUUCUAACGUGAAUACAUGAAACUUCUAAUGACAGUGCAAUCUUUCUAGACAAUCUCUGAAGGAGAAAUGUUACUAGUCUGUGGUGAAUAUAAAAAUAGGCUCAUAGGGAAAAAAAACUGUGAUUGAAGGUAUAAUUCUGCAUUUUCUUGGGAUAUACAUAAAUAGCAAGUAGUCAUUUUUUACUUAAAAAAAAAAAAAGAAAUCUACAGAAAGAAAAUUUAGCUGUCUUUCUGUUGCUAACCUUCCAGGAGGCCUUGGUUCUCCUUUAAGGUUGAAGUUCGUUUGUGACAGGUUAGUGCUGCUCAUUUUUGUGGCUUUCCAGAAGCCACCGUGGAAAAGGCAGAAGUCUUCCCCUCCCAUUAUGCUGAGUCAGACAUGGCAUCUACAUGACUCAUCACCAAGUGGUUCUCCAGAAUUCACUUUGCUUGCUUUUCCCCAAUCCAGAUAAUCCUCGGGACUGGUAGCCACCCAACUCACUCCUGCACACUGUUCUUCCUCUUUGGAGGCACCCACCAUGCCUGUCUGAUGCUGCCCCUCAAGGUCACAUCGGAGUCUCCUGUACCUACCUUGUCUGUGGCUACCCAACUCUAUACAAUUUCUGAAGCUUUCAUAACACCCAGAUGGUCUAUAAUGUAAUAUGUGUUUAGAUAAUCCUCAGGCCAAAACAUCUUUCCAAAAUUUAACUGUAAAUCUGUCACUUCCAUGGGUUAUGUUAGUCUUUUCCAUGUUCAAAUGGCUAUCUGAGCUCCUGGGGAGGGGAAGUCACUCCCGGAGUUCUCUUUCCAUCAUUCAUAGUGUGAAUCUCACCUUGGGCUGGGAGGAAUUUGUGAUGGGCAUACAAGUGAGAAAAAGGGUGCAAAGGGGUGAGAUGGUAUGUUAGUCAGGGUUCUCUAGAGGGACAGAAUUAAUAGGAUAGAUGUAUAUACAAAGGGGAAUGUAUUAAGGAGUAUUAACUCACGAGAUCACAAGGUAAGGUUGCAUAAUAGGCCAUCUGCAACCUGAGGAGCAAGGAAGCCAGUCCAAGUCCCAAAGCUGAAGGACCUUGAGUCCAAUGUUUGAGGGCAGGAAGCAUCCAGCAUAUGGGAGAAAGAUGUAGGCUUGGAGGCUAAGCCAGUCUAAUCUUUUUUUUUUUUUUUGAGAUGGAGUUGCCCUCUGUCACCCAGGCUGGAGUGCAGUGGCGUGAUCUCAGCUCACUGCAACCUCCGCCUCCGCCUCGCAGUACCUGAGAUUACAGGUGCAUGCCAACACGGCUAAUUCUUGUAUUUUUAGUAGAUACAGGGUUUCACCAUGUUGGCCAGUUGGUCUGGAACGAACUCCUGACCUCAAGUGAUCCGCCCACCUCAGCCUCCGAAAGUUCUGCGAUUACAGGUGUGAGCCACUGUGCCUGGCCAAGCCUAAUCUUUCCACGUUCUUCUGCUUGCUUUUAUUCUAGUUACACUGUCAGCUGGUUAGAUGGUGCCCUCCCAGAUUGAAGGUAGAUCUGCGUUUCCCAGUCCACUGACUCAAAUGUUAAUCUCCUUUGGCAACGCCUUCACAGACACACCCAGAAUCAAUACAUUGCACCCUUCAAUCCAAUCAAGUUGACAUCCAGUAGUAACCAUCACAGAUGGCUAAUACGGGAGAUAUUCAUGAAGGGUCUGGGAAGGGGAUUUGGAAGAGAUAUGGACACAAAGGAAGGAGGAAAGAAAAGGGGAAGUGAGACGGGAACCAAACCAAACACCCUGUAUUGCACAAUUGAGCCUGGAGUUGGCCUGCUCGCCACAGAGCAGUCACAGGUUUUCAGGAUGCUUUAGUGAUAGCAGCCAUCAGUACCUCUCAUUAGGAGCAAAAGCCCUGAUUGGUAAUAGUAUAUUCUACUUAUUUAGAGAAUAAAAGUUCCCUGUUAGAACCAGCCUUCUCAGAAUGGCAUUCAGCUUUUCAGAAAAGCACAGCACCAGCAUAUUUCUUAUCUGCCUUGAAGGUUAUAAUAAAUCCCUUCUUCUGUUAAUUCAUAAAUCCUUCAGCCACAUGCCAUUUUGGGGCCAUAUGCUUUCUUUCCUCCCUCUAACCCUUGGAAAGAUCUUUCAUAUCCAAUCUCUGUAGAUAAUCUGAAUGUGAAAUCAGGUAUGGUUAUCUAAUCCCUCUAAUCAGAAGGUCAGCAGUUACCUGCAGCUUUUCCAUCUGUCCUCCAGCUGAAUGCUGCCAUUUAGUAAAUCAAAAAUUGGUUACAAAUUAGCAAAGCUGACUGGCUCAAUGAAAUCUAGCCUGGAGUCUUUGCUGGAAGGGGGGAAGUUUAAAUAUGGUUUGAAGGGAGAUUUGAGGUGAACUCUAUUUAUCAAAGCCGUGGAGUAGCAGCAUAAAAGAUGAGAGAUGUUCUCCUGGGUAAAAAUGUCAAAUCACAUGGGAAAUGGGAAUAUUUCACAUGGUGAUUACUGAAUUUUACAAUUGUUCGCAAAUUGAUUCAGCCCAGAAAUCAACUGGGAAGUCUCCCACAGGUGUCUAGCACUCUGCAGGUAUUAGCGUGAUACAGGGUAAGUCUCAAAGUACAAAAAAAAACACACAUGUGAAACAAUUUGCAAACAAUGAAGUGCUAACCUGUGUGGUGUGAAUUACAGAUGCAUUAGGACACCAGAAAAGGAAGAAAAGACAGUGGCAGCUGAAGACAUUUCAGGAAUGCUUCACUGAGAACCUAAGUCUUGUUCUGGGCCAUAAAGAAAAGGGGAGGGUGUGGUUUCUAUACCAGAGAUAAGAAAGGAGAAAAUUGGACGUGGAGGAAAGAUAUGAGUACCAAUCCGAGCGAACAAGGAAGAGUGAGUAAAUCUGUCCAGCUGGAGUUGGAGGUACAUUCUGGAAAAUGGUGAGAGAGGCUGUGUAGGGUAGGGGGACACGGAAAGAUGGGCCAAGACAUUUGGAGCUGAUAUUUGAUAUGGUUUGGCUGUGCCCCCACCCAAAUCUCAUCUUAAAUUGUAAUCCCCAUAAUCCCCACGUGUCGAGGGAGGGACCCGGUGGGAAGUGAUUGGAUCAUGGGGGCAGUUUUCCCCAUGGAAUUCUCGUGAUAGUGAGUGAGUUCUCACGAGAUCUCAUGGUUUUACAAGCGUCUGGUAUUUCACCUGAUUGCACUUCUCUCUUCUGCCUCCUAGUGAAAAAGGUGCCUGCUUCUCCUUCUGCCAUGAUUAUAAGUUUCCUGAGGCUUCCCCAGCCAUGCGUAACUCUCCUUCCCAUUUAUGAGAGAGCCACAUGACAUCAGCCCAUAGACUGUGGAGAGUAUUCCAGAUCUAUCACAUUCUGCGAUUCUGCGAUUCCCAGAAGGCUGGUCAUGAAAAAAUUCCCUCUUCAGUUUACAUAUAUGGCAGUGGCACUUCUAGAUAUCUGUUGAGGCCUGGAAGGGGCAAAACAAUUCAGGAAGCAGUUGAAGAUAAAGGGGUUUACCAUGGAAGAGAAGAUCCAGGUGCCUUCAUGGAAAUGCUUGUGGUUGAAAAGAGAUGAAGAUGAGGGUCCCUGGAAAGAGGAAGAACCAGCCAGGAAAAUUAUACCAUUAGCAAGACUGGCAUCAGCAAGUAGUUCGCAGUGUUGGUUGUUCUUGGUUUCGCAGGAUUUUAUAGGAGAUGAGAAAACAAGGCAACAAGGUUAAGUGGCUUCCUGAAUUUUUCCUAUCGGGUCUGAGGCCUGCAGGAUGGGAGUCUGGCCCCCAGCAUGGCCUGCCUGGCAUGGCUCCCUCAGUUCUGCUCCCAGCUUCACAUGCUCCACUAAUUGGGGAUGGGUACCCCUGGUGUUCUUGAAAAUUAAUGAUAUUCAAAGCUACAAGAUGUAUCUGUUGUAGUCUAUGUUUGUUUACUUGUGGCAAUUAGUGACCAUCUGCUCUGGAGGUGAUGGUAUUAGGCCCUCUUUUGGAAAUAGUAACUUCUAGGAAGGAGACGCCCAGGCUAUUAGGGAAGGAGGGCUGACAAAUGAAUGGGGUCUCGGGUUCUCCAGAGGGUGGAGAGACUGCAUGUCAGACAUGUAAGGAAAAAAGCAAACUGAGUCAUUUAUUCUCUUCUCUUGUUGCCUCUCCUUUUUCUCUAUCUUCUGUCAUCAAAUCAUGGUUACUUGCCCAGAGUUUCUGUCAGGCCUUUGAGCCCAAGCUAAGCCAUCAUACCCCUGUGACCUACACGUUAUACAUCCAGAUGGCCUGAAGCAAUUGAAGAUCCACAAAAUAAGUGAAAAUAGCCUUAACGGAUGACAUUCCACCAUUGUGAUUUGUUUCCACCCCACCCUAACUGAUACAUAUAUUCUCCCCCACCCUUAAGAAGGUACUUCGGAAUGUUCUCUCCCGCUCUUAAGAAUGUGCUUUGUAUGCCUAUCCCAAACCUGUAAGAACUAAUGAUAAUCCCACCACCCUUUGCUGACUCUUUUUUUUGGACUCAGCCCAUCUGCACUCAGGUGAAAUAAACAGCCUUGUUACUCACACAAAGCCUGUUUGGUGGUCUCUUCACAUGGAUGUGCGUGACAUUUGGUGCCGUGACUAGGAUUGGGGGCCCUCCCUUGGGAGAUCAAUCCCCUGUCCUCCUGCUCUUUGCUCCAUGAGAAAGAUCCACCUACGACUUUGGGUCCUUAGACCAACCAGCCCAAGGAACAUCUCACCAAUUUUAAAUCGGGUAAGCAGCCUCUUUU
RNAcentral lists this long non-coding RNA (6217 nucleotides) under Homo sapiens (human). RNAcentral's name for it is "HSALNT0250486". The record is from RNAcentral. Lineage: Eukaryota; Metazoa; Chordata; Mammalia; Primates; Hominidae.